RNAcentral lists this transfer RNA (89 nucleotides) under Pseudomonas phage Astolliot. Its description in RNAcentral is "tRNA-Leu". It matches the Rfam family "tRNA". Rfam says of the family: Transfer RNA (tRNA) molecules are approximately 80 nucleotides in length. Lineage: Duplodnaviria; Heunggongvirae; Uroviricota; Caudoviricetes; Vandenendeviridae. The record is from RNAcentral.
GCCCGAAUGAUGGAACUGGUAGUCUUGGGGGAUUUAAAAUCCUCUGUCCGGGAACGGGCGUGUCGGUUCGAAUCCGACUUCGGGUACCA